AGCAGAGAGGACAGACACCCCCAAGACACGAGACGGAGUCGGGUAGGGGAGAGGGGCUCAGUUCCCGCGACAGAGAAAAAGGGGCGGGGGAAGAAAAGCAGAGGGAGCUUUGGGGGAGGGUGGGCCCGCUCAGAAUCAAGGGGAGGUGAGGAGCAUCGGAGGGUCCUGAGCUCCUGCCUUCCAUGUGGGAAGCAAGCACGAGGCCGCUGAGUGCAGCCGGCUCCUCGCCCCGGAGUUUGCGAGCCAGGGGUCUUCCGGGGUCACAAAGACCGCUGGGCAGCUGGAGCCGGGAGAAACGGUUCUUCAGGAGCGUCAGAGCCACAGAAGGGUCUCACGCAGCCUGCAUCCCUGGCUUAUAGGGGCAGGGGAGAGGCUAUGAAUGAGUCUCUGAGUGACUCCUGAAUCACUUCCCACCCCCUAGUGCCAACGAUGUGCUAAGCUCUUCACUGAGUCACUUCUCCGGUCCCUAAGGACGCACAAGCCAAGAGACUCCAACCCCAGUUGGCAAGCAAGUGCUUUAGCGAGGAAAGGGAGACCCCGUGGAGUUUCUCCACCUUUCCGGGCUGCAAGCCCCAAAGUCUGGCGCCCCCCCCCCCCCCCGCCCCCCGCCCAGCCUUUCACCAGGUCCUUCUUCCCAUCCGUCCUGAAGUCUGCCUUCCUGUCUGCACAGGGCUCAGCUCCCCGGGGAGGGGUCUUGCCUUGGAAAGUGGGCUUCUUUCCCAUCCCGACUGGACUGUCCCGGUGACCUUGAGGCAGAAGGACUCCUCCCAGGGCACGAGCUUCCUCCUCUGUCAAUGAGGGUUGAGACUGACGAUCCCAAUGGACUCAAGUUUCAUCCCCAGCCUUCUCUGACUCAGUCUUUCCGUUCCUUGUCCUCUCGUCCAGGCCUCUAUACACAGCAGCCUGAACACAUGGAGAGUGCAUCGAGGGAGUGGGUGUCCUGGACAGGACCUAGCACUUUCCAAAGACAGCAGCAGACCGAAUCCCCAGUGUGUGAAUGGAGGACUCGGGAUGAAGGCUUUGCGUCUUGUCCAUUAUGCUUUGAACCCUCAGCCUAACUUUUAAAGGGAAGAAAAUGGGGGCCUAAAGAGGAUCCAUCAGAGAAGGAGGCAGGGAGGGGAAAGCGAUCAUUUCAUCCGCUCAACAAGUGUCCAUGAACAUCAAACUUGUCUCAGGCCCUGGGCCAGGUGCAGGGACCCAAAGAGCCUGUUUUUACCCAGACUCUACAAAUUGACCCUGACUGUGCUCUUAAAAAAUUAAAAACCUCCGCUUAGUUUCACUUCUGCAUCAAACAGACAGCGUAAACAUGGGUCACCUGUUUUUGAGUCUCCGUGGGAGAGUUUGGCAUCGAACAUCGUCCCACCGCGACCUAUCCCUGAGUGUCUCGGCAAGCACCCGCGAGCACCAGGAUUCCUGAGCACCUGGAGGUGAGAAAAGCCAGGAUGCCGAAAGCUCCCGGGGCUCCCAAAGCACCUGCGGCCACGGACAGACAUCACCCGUACCCCGCCCCGCCCCACCCCGCCCAAGAGAAGGAAACAGCCUCUGGUCAGACCACAGGCAGAGGCAGGCCCUGCCGGAUGCCCAGCCCAGCUGUGCUUCUGAAACCUGCGGUUUUUCCAGCGAAUCCUCCACCCGGUGUAUCAGCAGAGGGAGCUCUAGCUAGCAAAUAACUUUCCUCCGACCGCAUCCUCUCCUGGAGAAGAGAUCCAGAGAGAGCAGGGAAAAGCAAGCGCCUAAGGGGAGCUGGCGCCCCUGCCGUGCAGAAGGAAACCCCACCAGUCGGCAAGGGCGGGGCUUGGGGGAUCGGGGGAGGAGGAGAGACCCCUUCCCCCAGCCCCCCCCCCAUGAAGAAGGAAGUGAGAAAAUCAGAAACCACCGAAUUUCUGCAGAGGUUGUCUGGCCUUGUUCUGCCCCAGCACCUUGGGUCCCCGGGGGCUCACAGCCUUUCUGCUGUCUUCCCAGUGCAUGAUGUUCAAGAAGGGGACACACUCCCCGUCCAAGUCUCAGACUACCUUGGCAGACAUUUUUUAUCUUUAAAAUAAAUGUUUAUGGUGUGUCA
Long non-coding RNA from Equus caballus (horse), 2059 nucleotides. RefSeq lists it as uncharacterized. The record is from RefSeq and is a predicted model, not a curated record. Lineage: Eukaryota; Metazoa; Chordata; Mammalia; Perissodactyla; Equidae.